RNAcentral lists this ribosomal RNA (253 nucleotides) under uncultured bacterium. RNAcentral's name for it is "partial 16S ribosomal RNA". It matches the Rfam family "Bacterial small subunit ribosomal RNA", at positions 524 to 776 of the family's 1533-position model. The record is from RNAcentral.
UACGUAGGGUGCGAGCGUUGUCCGGAAUUACUGGGCGUAAAGAGCUCGUAGGUGGUUUGUCGCGUUGUUCGUGAAAACCGGGGGCUUAACCCUCGGCGUGCGGGCGAUACGGGCAGACUUGAGUACUGCAGGGGAGACUGGAAUUCCUGGUGUAGCGGUGGAAUGCGCAGAUAUCAGGAGGAACACCGGUGGCGAAGGCGGCUCUCUGGGACGGUACUGACGCUGAGACGCGAAAGCGUGGGGAGCGAACAGG